CCUACGGGAGGCAGCAGUGGGGAAUAUUGCACAAUGGGGGAAACCCUGAUGCAGCGACGCCGCGUGAGUGAAGAAGUAAUUCGUUACUGAAAGCUCUAUCUGCAGGGGAGUAAAUGACGGUACCUGAGUAAUAAUCCCCGGCUAACUACGGUCCAGCAGCCGCAGUAAUACGCAGGGUGCAAGCGUUAUCCGGAUUUACUGGGUGUAAAGGGAGCGUAGACGGUGGGUCAAGUCUGUAGUGAAAUGCCGCAGCUUAACUGCGGAACUGCAAUGGAUACUGGCGAACUAGAGUGCGGUUGGGGUAAGCGGAAUUCGUAGUGUAGCGGUGAAAUGCGUAGAUAUUACGAAGAACCCCGGUGGCGAAGGCAGCUUACUAAACUGUAACUGACAUUGAGGCUCGAAAGCGUGGGGAGCAAACAGGAUUAGAUACCCGAGUAGUC
RNAcentral lists this ribosomal RNA (440 nucleotides) under uncultured bacterium. RNAcentral describes it as "partial 16S ribosomal RNA". It matches the Rfam family "Bacterial small subunit ribosomal RNA", at positions 338 to 795 of the family's 1533-position model. The record is from RNAcentral.